Molecule: ribosomal RNA, 1163 nt
Filed under: Nostoc sp. CMT-1FBIN-NPC26
Lineage: Bacteria; Bacillati; Cyanobacteriota; Cyanophyceae; Nostocales; Nostocaceae
Also listed under: 2 other names
Description: bacterial SSU rRNA
Rfam family: Bacterial small subunit ribosomal RNA
Source: RNAcentral
GGGGAAUUUUCCGCAAUGGGCGAAAGCCUGACGGAGCAAUACCGCGUGAGGGAGGAAGGCUCUUGGGUCGUAAACCUCUUUUCUCAGGGAAGAACACAAUGACGGUACCUGAGGAAUAAGCAUCGGCUAACUCCGUGCCAGCAGCCGCGGUAAUACGGAGGAUGCAAGCGUUAUCCGGAAUGAUUGGGCGUAAAGCGUCCGCAGGUGGCUGUGUAAGUCUGCUGUUAAAGAGUCUAGCUCAACUAGAUACAAGCAGUGGAAACUACACGGCUAGAGUACGUUCGGGGCAGAGGGAAUUCCUGGUGUAGCGGUGAAAUGCGUAGAGAUCAGGAAGAACACCAGUGGCGAAGGCGCUCUGCUAGGCCGUAACUGACACUGAGGGACGAAAGCUAGGGGAGCGAAUGGGAUUAGAUACCCCAGUAGUCCUAGCCGUAAACGAUGGAUACUAGGCGUGGCUUGUAUCGACCCGAGCCGUGCCGUAGCUAACGCGUUAAGUAUCCCGCCUGGGGAGUACGCCGGCAACGGUGAAACUCAAAGGAAUUGACGGGGGCCCGCACAAGCGGUGGAGUAUGUGGUUUAAUUCGAUGCAACGCGAAGAACCUUACCAAGGCUUGACAUGUCGCGAAUCUUGAUGAAAGUUGAGAGUGCCUUCGGGAGCGCGAACACAGGUGGUGCAUGGCUGUCGUCAGCUCGUGUCGUGAGAUGUUGGGUUAAGUCCCGCAACGAGCGCAACCCUCGUUUUUAGUUGCCAGCAUUAAGUUGGGCACUCUAGAGAGACUGCCGGUGACAAACCGGAGGAAGGUGGGGAUGACGUCAAGUCAGCAUGCCCCUUACGCCUUGGGCUACACACGUACUACAAUGCUCCGGACAGAGGGCAGCAAGCAUGCGAAUGCAAGCAAAUCCCGUAAACCGGAGCUCAGUUCAGAUCGCAGGCUGCAACUCGCCUGCGUGAAGGAGGAAUCGCUAGUAAUUGCAGGUCAGCAUACUGCAGUGAAUUCGUUCCCGGGCCUUGUACACACCGCCCGUCACACCAUGGAAGCUGGUAGUGCCCGAAGUCAUUACUCCAACCUUUCGGGGGGGAGGAUGCCUAAGGCAGGACUGGUGACUGGGGUGAAGUCGUAACAAGGUAGCCGUACCGGAAGGUGUGGCUGGAUCACCUCCUU